RNAcentral lists this transfer RNA (77 nucleotides) under Bacillus phage Basilisk. RNAcentral describes it as "tRNA-Asn". It matches the Rfam family "tRNA". From Rfam's summary of the family: Transfer RNA (tRNA) molecules are approximately 80 nucleotides in length. RNAcentral also lists the same sequence under 2 other names. Lineage: Duplodnaviria; Heunggongvirae; Uroviricota; Caudoviricetes. The record is from RNAcentral.
UUGGGGUAUAGCGUAGCGGUAGCGCAACUGAUUGUUAAUCAGUAGGUCGCUGGUUCGAAUCCAGCUAUCCCAGUCAU